Molecule: non-coding RNA, 138 nt
Organism: Myotis brandtii (Brandt's bat)
Lineage: Eukaryota; Metazoa; Chordata; Mammalia; Chiroptera; Vespertilionidae
Source: Rfam
UGGGAGGCUGAUACACAAAUUGAGCUAAGUACUGCUCUAAUUGUCACCACACCUCCCUAGAAUAAACUGCCUUUAAAAAAUAUAUAUACUUUUAUUGAUUUCAGAGAGGAAGGGAGAGCAACAGAGAGAUAGAAACAU